Molecule: unclassified non-coding RNA, 255 nt
Filed under: Tilletiopsis washingtonensis
Lineage: Eukaryota; Fungi; Basidiomycota; Exobasidiomycetes; Entylomatales
Description: partial internal transcribed spacer region
Rfam family: Eukaryotic small subunit ribosomal RNA (bases 1-46)
Source: RNAcentral
AAGUCAUAACAAGGUUUCUGUAGGUGAACCUGCAGAAGGAUCAUUAGUGAAUACACCGGGGAACCCACUCUGUGGGCCCCAACCCUUCACCAUAUCCUCACACCUGUGCACCGCUGGUAGCCGCCGCUGUACUUCGGUACGGUUUGCAGCUGCUGGCAACCUAUACACACACACCUGAGUUCUAUGAAUGUUAAUUUUACUUGCCUUCGGGCAGAACUAAAAUACAACUUUUGACAACGGAUCUCUUGGUUCUCC